CCUGCCCAUAGAGGUGUUGGAGGUCUGGCUGCUGUGUCACAUGUGUAUCAGUUGUUGACAGAGAGGAGAGAGGUUAUGUCUACACUCAGUAUUAUGGCCUGUGGAGAGUUAAAUGAUGAGUAACCUUAGAUU
Molecule: small nucleolar RNA, 132 nt
Organism: Apodemus sylvaticus (European woodmouse)
Lineage: Eukaryota; Metazoa; Chordata; Mammalia; Rodentia; Muridae
Product: small nucleolar RNA SNORA17
Exons: 1
Source: RefSeq, a predicted model, not a curated record